CUACGGAGGGUGCAAGCGUUAUUCGGAAUCACUGGGCGUAAAGGACGCGUAGGCGGGUUGGCAAGUCAGAUGUGAUAUCCUACAGCUUAACUGUAGAACUGCAUUUGAAACUGCUAACCUAGAGUAUGGGAGGGGGAGAUGGAAUUAGUGGUGUAGGGGUAAAAUCCGUAGAUAUCACUAGGAAUACCGAAAGCGAAGGCGAUCUCCUGGAACAUAACUGACGCUAAGGCGUGAAAGCGUGGGGAGCAAACAGGAUUAGAAACCCCAGUAGUCC
RNAcentral lists this ribosomal RNA (274 nucleotides) under uncultured bacterium. RNAcentral's name for it is "partial 16S ribosomal RNA". It matches the Rfam family "Bacterial small subunit ribosomal RNA", at positions 523 to 796 of the family's 1533-position model. The record is from RNAcentral.